Molecule: signal recognition particle RNA, 272 nt
Filed under: Candidatus Woesearchaeota archaeon
Lineage: Archaea; Nanobdellati; Candidatus Woesearchaeota
Description: signal recognition particle sRNA
Rfam family: Archaeal signal recognition particle RNA
Source: RNAcentral
UUAUGGGCUAGGCUGGUGCAUUGGUCCUGCACUGUUACUCUAAACGGACCUCAUGAGAGGGCCGAAGCUUGGAAAGAGACAUUUGCCUUGUAAGUGGUCUUGGUUUGGACGUUGAGGUUCUGUCCUCUUGGACCGAUAAAUUUGAUAAUCCAUCAGGUCAGGAAUGAAGCAGUGGUACUCUUUUAUAUUGGUGCUUGGAGGGUAGCGGAACUGAGGAAAAAUCAAGGUUAACUGCUUGCUUUGCUUGUGUCCAUUUUCAAGCGUGCCCACUU